Molecule: ribosomal RNA, 392 nt
Filed under: uncultured bacterium
Lineage: Bacteria
Description: partial 16S ribosomal RNA
Rfam family: Bacterial small subunit ribosomal RNA
Source: RNAcentral
AUACGUAGGGGGCGAGCGUUGUCCGGAUUUACUGGGCGUAAAGGGUGAGUAGGCGGUUAUAUUUGUCAGAUGUAAAAGGCUAUGGCUUAACCAUAGUUAGCAUUUGAAACUGUAUGACUUGAGUGCAGGAGAGGUAAGUGGAAUUCCUAGUGUAGCGGUGAAAUGCGUAGAUAUUAGGAGGAACACCAGUGGCGAAGGCGACUUACUGGACUGUAACUGACGCUGAGUCACGAAAGCGUGGGUAGCAAACAGGAUUAGAUACCCUGGUAGUCCACGCUGUAAACGAUGAGUGCUAGGUGUUGGCCAGCGAUGGUCAGUGCCGCAGUAAACACAUUAAGCACUCCGCCUGGGGAGUACGGUCGCAAGACUGAAACUCAAAGGAAUUGACGGGG